This 1468-nucleotide long non-coding RNA is filed under the name Homo sapiens (human). RNAcentral's name for it is "novel transcript". The record is from RNAcentral. Lineage: Eukaryota; Metazoa; Chordata; Mammalia; Primates; Hominidae.
GGCAACCCGCUCGCGUCCCCUUCCAGACUGUGGAAGCUUUGUUUUUUCGCUUUUUGCAGUAAAUCUUGCUACUGCUCGCUCUUUGGGUCCAGGCUGCUCUUAUGAGCUGUAACACUCACGGCGAAGAUCUGCAGCUUCACACCUGAGCCCAGCGAGACUACGAGCCCACCCGGAGGAACGAGGAGCUCCAGACGCGCUGCCUUAAGAGCUGUAACACUCACCGCGAAGGUCUGCAGCUUCACUCCUGAGCCAGCGAGACCACGAACCCACCAGAAGGAAGAAACUCCGAACACAUUUGAACAUCAGAAGGGAUAAACUCCAGACGUGCCACCUUAGGAGCUGUAAACCUCACCGUGAGGGUGCGCGGCCUCAUUCUUGAAAUUGAGUUGACUUCAAGAAUCGGUCUUCGAGCUUCUUUCCUCAGCUUGGUUGAUUCUGCUGUUAAUACUUGAACCCAGCCAGCAUGCUUGUGAGAAGCAUGCCUGAGUCCUAGAGAGUCAAUAGUCUCUGAUGAAUGCCACCCAACAGUCAAUAUCAACUGAAAGCCAUCUGCGUGAGCCAUCUCAGUCCAGUCAAGCUAUCAACAUGACUGCAGCAGCACUGGAGACUGCAAGAAAGAAUUGCCCAGCUUAGGCCAGUCAACACACAGGAUUACAAAAGGUUUUGAAACUUCCAUCCAGUGGGUAUUGUCCUACUUUUAAAUUGGUUCAAAAUAGGAUCAUCAAGGUAUCUAGAUAUCCAUGGCAAAGAAUCAGCUCUUUUCUAAUCAAUGAGUUUUGCUGGUGGUUAAGUAUAUAUUUCAAUGGUCCGUGUAAAGGAAACAACAGUAGACAAAGAAAAUUGUAUUUCUCGGCUGACUGUAUUGUCUUUCCUGAGGACCCUCAUCAUAACAACUUUUUCUCUGGUGAUUUCCAAUGAAUCACCCUGAAGUAGUACCUGCAAUGACGUUGCACACACUAUUCUCUGCAAUCAGCUGUGCGAAGACAGCUGUCACUCCUCUUCGUCACUAAAGGGAAUCCCAGUCUGAUGGCAGCAGUCCCAUGGUAAGAUCUGGUCUGCAGAGAAGAACCAUCACAGAACUCUCCAAGAAUAUAUUUAUCAAAGCCAUGUGGAAGAGAGUAUCCUCUGGACCAUCCCAGGAUGAUUCCUGGCCACAGCAAAGAGGAAGCUUGGGUUUGCAUGUCCAGGACCUCCACCCUAAGUAUUCAGGCACUCUUUUUGACAUCAUUGCUGUUGUUACUUAGGUGUAUCUCCUUGGUUGUGUUUCUCCAUUCUGCUAUAAAAACUGAGAAAACACAGAUCUUAACGAUGCUGUGAACUUGAUAAGCAUUUAAUUGAAUCCUCCAAAUAUAAAAUUUUAAGUGGUCAUCUUAAACAUAGCAAGACUUGAAUUUAAAGUAUUAUACCAAAUCAAACAGUGGCCAGAUGGCGAUUUUAAAAAUUACAAACUCAUAUAUUUCUUCCAUUC